GAACGAGAAAGUGGAGCAAUCCAUGAGUAAAGUGGCGUCCGGGUGAGUAACACGUGACUAACCUACCUUUGAGUGGGGGAUAACAUCGGGAAACCGAUGCUAAUACCGCAUAACAUCGCAAGAUCAAAGCAGCAAUGCGCUUAAAGAGGGGGUCGCGGCUGAUUAGCUAGUUGGCGGGGUAACGGCCCACCAAGGCGAAGAUCGGUAUCCGGCCUGAGAGGGCGCACGGACACACUGGAACUGAAACACGGUCCAGACUCCUACGGGAGGCAGCAGUGGGGAAUUUUGCGCAAUGGGGGAAACCCUGACGCAGCAACGCCGCGUGGAGGAUGAUGUCCCUUGGGACGUAAACUCCUUUCGACCAAGACGAUAAUGACGGUACUGGUGGAAGAAGCACCGGCUAACUCUGUGCCAGCAGCCGCGGUAAUACAGAGGGUGCAUGCGUUGUUCGGAAUUAUUGGGCGUAAAGGGCGCGUAGGCGGCGCGACAAGU
Molecule: ribosomal RNA, 492 nt
Filed under: uncultured bacterium
Lineage: Bacteria
Description: bacterial SSU rRNA
Rfam family: Bacterial small subunit ribosomal RNA
Source: RNAcentral